GCCCAUUUGGCUCAGAGGACAGAGCGUUGGCCUGCGGACCAAAGGAUCCUGGGUUUGAUUCCGGUAAAGGGCA
Molecule: non-coding RNA, 73 nt
Organism: Myotis brandtii (Brandt's bat)
Lineage: Eukaryota; Metazoa; Chordata; Mammalia; Chiroptera; Vespertilionidae
Source: Rfam